Molecule: ribosomal RNA, 1176 nt
Filed under: Bunodera vytautasi
Lineage: Eukaryota; Metazoa; Platyhelminthes; Trematoda; Plagiorchiida; Allocreadiidae
Description: eukaryotic LSU rRNA
Rfam family: Eukaryotic large subunit ribosomal RNA
Source: RNAcentral
UUAAUGAGUACGGUUGUACUGACAUGGCCCAUGGAGGGUGAAAGGCCCGUAAGAGUGGAGUCUUGGCAUGACAGUGUCUCUCUGGAUUGACCUUGGAGUCGGGUUGUUUGGGAAUGCAGCCCUAAGCGGGUGGUAAACUCCAUCCAAGGCUAAAUACAAGCACGAGUCCGAUAGCGAACAAGUACCGUGAGGGAAAGUUGAAAAGUACUUUGAAGAGAGAGUAAACAGUGCGUGAAACCGCUUAGAGGUAAACGGGUGGAGUUGAACUGCAAUCUCUGAGAAUUCAGCUGGGGAAUUUUGCUUGAGCUUGGUCAAUUGGGCAGGGCCUCGGGGUAUGCUUAUCUGCAUGUUCUGAUCUUCGGGUCGGAAUGCGCGUUGCUCUUAUCAAGGGCUGUGCGCCUCGGGUGUCCGGCUGGCUCAUUCGCCAGUGCACUUUCUUGGAGUGAUCACCACGACCGGCGCUGCUGCUGGGCUGUUAUAGUUAAACCGGGCAUUCAUCGUCCUUGUGGCGUUGGGUGCACGACACGGCAGGUAACUGGGUUCUUGCUUCGGCUUGUUUCUUGGUGUAUGCUGGCUUUAACGGUUCUAUGCGGUGUGUCGGAGACGGCGGCUUGUGGUGUGUGCAUGCGUGUCUAUCUGUUGGUGCAUUCUGGUUUGGUAGCUGUGUGCUUGUUCAACAGGCCCAGUUAUGGCUGGAGUGUAUCAGUGGGUGGUUGCGUGUGUGACACUUUUCAGGGCCAAUAGUCUGUGGUGUUGUGGUAGACUAUCCACCUGACCCGUCUUGAAACACGGACCAAGGAGAGUAACAUGUGCGCGAGUCAUUGGGCGUAACGAAACCCACAGGCGCAGUGAAAGUAAAGGUCUGGCUUGUCCAGUCUAUGGUGAGAUCCUGUCGUUGUUCAUGCAUGGUACCACCAAGCUUGGAGCGGCAGGCGCAUCACCGGCCCGUCCCAUGACGUGGUUACAGUCUUCGGAUUGUGCGCCGUCGGGGCGGGGCAUGAGCGUACAUGUUGAGACCCGAAAGAUGGUGAACUAUGCUUGCGCAGGUUGAAGCCAGAGGAAACUCUGGUGGAGGACCGCAGCGAUUCUGACGUGCAAAUCGAUCGUCAAACGUGAGUAUAGGGGCGAAAGACUAAUCGAACCAUCUAGUAGCUGGUUCCCUCCGAAGUUUCCUCC